CUCCGCCCGCCCCCGAGCACCCCCCCCCGUUCCCGGCAUGCCCCGGGGCGGCGGGGCUGGCCCUAACGAAUUUGAAUGAAGAGCCCAGCUCUUUCGGCGCCAUUUUCGAGUGGUGCCCCAGCGCGGCGCUGCCGCGGGGCCGCUCGCUGCCGCCGCCUCCCUCCCUCUCUCUCUCUCUCUCCCAUCCCCUCCCUCCUCCUUCUUCUCCUUCUUCCUCUUCCAACGUCCCCUUCUCCUCCUUCACCUUCUCCUCCUUCGCCGCCGAUUCGGGGAUUCGGAGCCUCGGCUGCGGGCGCCUUUCCAACACGGCAACUGGAUCGCGAUUCAAGGUUUCGACCUUUCAAUAGAGAGCUGAUUUUGGAGAACGGCUUAGUCCUGUGAUUGAAAAACUCUUUCUGGAAGGUUGAUGGAGCAUGAGCAUGGUCUGGUCAGCAACUCCAGUGCAAUUUGAAAAUAUGUAAUCUGCUGGCAGUGAUGUACCCAACCUUAAUCAGAGCUGGAGCCUUUGGAAGAGAGCUUGUGUCAUCGCAGGAUGUAUAGUCCCACAGUGACUGACCUUGAUGAAACUGUGACAGAAGAAAACAGCAGUACUUUGGAAACUGAUCCUGUGCACUUACCACCAGGGUUCCUGCAAAAUGCUACUUGAGCGUUAAGCAUUCUGUUGAGGACAAGAAGAGCUUUGAUGUACAUUCUGGAGUUAGAAUACUUAAGCAGCAAUACUCGCCUGCCUUUCUUUCAUAAAAGACUCGGUGCCAGCUUAGAAGAGCAUAAAAUUUUACUCUAGGCCUGUGACUGCUUUCUUGGGCUAAAAGAGCAAGUUUUCUGUGAAUUUGGGAGGAAGAAAGGAAAGGUUAAUUUUCUUAAUUCUUUAAGAAGGCUAGAAAUGAAUGAAAAGUACCAGAAACCUUAGAGCUUGCUUAGAUGUUCUGAAUUUUUAUCCUUUUAGCCUAUUUUUUUUUUUUUUUUUUUUUUUUUUUUUUUUUAGGAAGAGCUAGGAGGAAUGUAAUAUACUUAAGAGAAUCUGUUUCCCUGUCUUUAAUAACUUUCCACUACAACGGUGCAUUUAUGCUGGGUGGGUUUUGUUAUUUAGGGAGGGAUUCACCCAUUUUCUCCUCCACCAGCAAUAAUUCCAAAUAGUAGGUUUUAUAAACUUGAACUGUAACAGUAGGAUAAUCUUUUCUGGAGGUAACACUACAAAGACCUAAGCAAUAAUUUAACAGUACAUGUUUAUUGGAGAACUUGAAGAAAAAUAAGUAUGUUGAUUUUAUUUUUUCAUCUGAAAAGAUGUUAUGAAACCUUUUUAAAAGACCUACAGGAAUUGAAGUUGUAUUUCAAGAUAGCCCCUUUCUUUUUUGGUAGAUGCACCAGACUAAGUAUUGAUAUUUUUGUGAUUAAAACUGGGGGGGGGGGGGGGAAAGGGCUGUUUUAAAAACUGCUAUAAUAAAAUAUAAAAGUCACUUCCUAGAACAUAGAAAAUAUUGUCUUAAUUUUGUAUGUGUCCUUUGAAGCAGAAAGAGUGCUGGUACAGAUUGGAAGUGUUCUCACAGUUUUCUUCUUGUGUGCAUGCCAAAGGUGCAGGGAAGACAGAUUUUUAAAAGUUGAGUGCAAGCUAUACUAGUGCAAUAAAGAGGGAUCUGGAAAGCUUUUCUGAAAUACAACUCUUACAAACUCUUGGACCCAAAGCUUGUCAGACUUUACCAGUUUGCUUUAAAAUGUUUCAUAUAGUAGUAUAUUUAAUGCAUCAACAUCUGACAAAACACUUUUUAGAAGCUGGGAAAAGAAGUGUGAGGAGUUAGUCUUACUCAAUUUUGGUUUUAAGCUACUCAAUACUAAAAUAUAUUUCUGUAUGUUGUCAAUGCAUGUUUUUCAUAAUAUUUCUGUCAGCUUCCCUUUUUUUGCUAGCAGGUUAUUUAACUAACUUUUGGUUUCUUGCCUUCCAUGUAAGUCCACAGCAUUUUGGUUGCUAUCCAUCGUUUCUACAGAAGCCUUAAUAUUGCACUACCAAAUAACUGUUUUUAUUUCCUUUUGUUUUCAUGACUGCAAUGAAGAAAGAGUGCACCUCAUACAACAGGACAUGUGAGUCAGGCUAGUAUAAGCUGUGCUUGGAGUACUGAGAUAAAGGAGAAAGGAUAUAGAACUGAAUUUGAUGCUGACAGGCCAUAACUGCAUUUCCAAAUUUCCGUGUGUUUUUAAACUUCAGACUUUCUUAAUGCUGUAGAUACUGGUUUUUAUUUUUAGCUGGCUUUGUUAUUUUAUGUUUAUCUUAUGCAGUAGUUCUCCAGAUAGUCUAAAUAUGUUUGUUCAUGGUCCUUGGAGAGAUGGCUGGACACAUGAUGUAGAUUCUCCAAAUUUAGUAGCAGUAAAUUUCUGUAAUCAGCAGUUAUCUGCUUAAAUUGCACUAGUAAUAUUUUACACUGCAAAGGUUUCUGUGUUGUUUGUUUUUUACUGUGAUUUUGUGGAGGAAAAUUGUUGACAUGGCCAUGAAACAGUUAACAGAUAAUCCCCUUUUUUUGUCAAAGUUUGUGUGCUUGGCUUUACCCGUAAUUUACAAACAAAACUGUGGAGCAGUGCUUGUUAUCUCUGUUCAAGUAUUCAGCCUUUUGUUCAGAGGAUUACUCAAAGCGUUGUGACUCUUCAAUACAAAUUUAUUGUAGUCUUAAAUAUUCAGCUGCUUGGUAGAAGGUAGGGGAAGAUUUAUACACGGAGAGUGUGUAAGCUUGAUCCUGACUGACUUGCCCCUCUGUGGGGUGAAGUGGUGCUAAUUUAUUGCUUGAUUACAGUCAUUUAAUAAUAAUCCUUACGAAAAAUGCUAGGUCAGUGCUUAAAUUUGAGUUCAAAACCUUACUGUUAUUUCAGGAGAAAAGGUAUAGAGCUUGUAGAGCUCAUUCUCUUCAUUCUUUUUUUAAUGUGAGCACGAAGUAGCCUCAAUUAAGCUGAGUGUACUGAUGUGACAUCAUGUUGUACCUGAACCAAAUAAUAACACAGUAAUAGCCAAAAGUACACUUAUCUUUAAGCUACAACUUCGAAGCUGUAUUUCUAUUGAAUCUUUCCUUUUUAUAGUAUGUAUGUCACUUAAGGGAUGCUGACAUUAAUAAUUAGAGGUAAAGAGGGCUCGUUAGCAAUAGCAACCAAAAGGAUAAUAGAAUACUUAACACGCAUUUCCUUUAAAAUGCAAGUUUGAAGAAUGAGCAAAAGUUAGAAAAUGCUGUGUGUUUGCAGCACAAACAUUACAGCAUUGAGUAAGCAUAUGACAAAAAGUGAAACUACUAUUGUUUAAGCUGGUGGGGAGAAAAGUAAACAGUGUAUUAUCAAGGCUCAGCUACGUACACUUUAAGGUCUUUACAGUUUUGAUGCUUAAGAAUAAAUAUAUUUAGGUUUCUUAAUAGGGUGGUCAGAGUAUCUCCUGAAUUUUGUCUUUUUCACAGAGGUGGUGAAAGAGGUAGGAGCACUGGUAGCCCAGAUUUAGUUCAGUAAAAAUCUGUAUUUGCAGCAAACAGUAACUGUCAGUGUUUGUACAGAAUGCUGUAUUCGUGACACUGAAUUGUGAGCCCUGAAAGGAGAAAUUUGCAAAUUUACCUGCGGUUUGCAGGAGAAAAAAGGUUAUGACUGCAAAAUGCCUUGUCUGUCCUUAAGAGUAAGUUGCACAGGAUGCUCGUCAGCACUGCCCCACUUCACACUGUGCCGUCCCUGCCUCCCAGUGCAAACCCUGCCUUACUGCAGUUUCAGCUAAAGAGGUUAAACUGGAGAAAACUCAGAUACGGAGGUGUACGUUGUGAUCACUGUGCAGAGGGGGUAGCACUGGUGGAAAAACUGUCAUGCUUUAGGCUGAGGAACUCUUAAGAGCCUUUCAGUGUCUUUCAGCGUCAGAUUUCCAGAUUUAAACUGAAAUGGGGUUGGGAAAGGGUCACAGUGAGGCAAUAGCUGCGCUUUCAGAGUGGAUGUGUGUUGCUUUGCUUUCAUGAGCAAGUAACACAAACAAAGGAGAAUGGUUGGGUGUAAGUGGUGUAUAACACUGCCCAAGUGGAAGGUGUGUUGGCCAAGAAACAUCAGGAGAGUGGUGAUGGUAUACGAGCACAAUGCCCUAAGUAAAUGUUUAAGCUUGUGUCACAGUCCUGGACGUGUGAGAUGAUACUUUCUAUUUAAUAGAAAGGCCUUGAUUUGUUUUAUUCCAAAUCACCAAACUGUCAGAUUGCUGGUUAGUAGUAACUCCGUGAAUAUAAUGUUAUAUAGAACUAAAGGGGCGUAUUAGUAGUUACAGUAGCUGGAGGUUCACCUGUAACUGUUUUUCAUGGGAUCGGAAAGAAAAUGAGUUGGGCUUGGUAUUGUCAUAAACUCCUAAUGUUAAACUAAUAGAAGCUGAACAUGGUAUUUUAUAUUAGGCUGUUCAAUAAAUCAACUAAGAAACAGUGAAACCAAGGAAAAGCUCCUUCCCCCGCACCCCUUUUUAUUUAUUUUGAAGCUGUUUAAUUGCUUUUCUAUCAGCAUUCCUGACUUCUGUGUAUAUGCAGUGUAGAGAGCUUGCUUCUGUGGAACUGAACUUCUGCUGCUUCAGAGCUCUUCCAUCUUCUUCAGCAGAGCUCUUACGUUGAUGGACUUGGGAUCGAAUGGAGCUGGCUGUAUUCAAGUUUCCCAGCUUUUAUUGGGGUCUCCCCAGUAAUUUUCCUGCCACCCCCAACAACAAUUUAGGAUGUAAAGACAGAGGUAGGAGAAGCACUUGAUGGCAUGGCUGUGUAAGCUUUAUGACCAAAAGCACAGAGGUUCAAAGCUUUGUGCAGACACUCCCGUAUUUCACUAGCUAUCUGGCUUAGUUAUCUGUAUGUGUUUUAUCUUAGUUUUCCUCCUUUUAUCCUUUUCCUGUUCCUCAACCCUUUCUCUCACAUAUGAGGUCUUCAACUUUAAUUUAUUUUCUCUGUAAGGAGAGCAGAAGCAUAUUUUUAAUAGGAAAGUAGAAAAUACUCCCAAUUUUUUGUUUGUUUUUAAAUUUACUUCUUGUUUGGAGGUACUUUUGCUCGUAUAAGUUUAAAAAAAAAAUACAGUCCUGUAAUGCAUGUGAGUUUUUGUAUUCAUGUCUGGGGAGGAAGGGAAAUUACCUGCAAGUUCUCCUACUAAUGCACUUACGGUGAAGAUAGCAUUAAUAGCUCUGCCAAGUCUUUGUUUCAUGGUGUGUAUAGUUUAAUUUUAGAGGGAUUUGCUUAUAGAGCAGGGGGAAAAACAAAAAACAAAAAAAAACACCUCUAUGCUUAAGCUAGAAAACUAAAAACAACUAGGCAAUUGAAACAACAGUAUCUAGUUAAGCACACGUAGUUCACAAAUUAAGAACUUGGCCUGGACAUGUAAGUGAGAAUUCUUCCAAAGGUAUUAAAUGUUGCAGCUGUUUUAUUUAAAUCAUUUCUCUUUGAUAUUUUCAGGUAAAUCUACAAGUAAGAGGCAGCACUCGCUCUUGUUGAACAUCUUUCAUAAUCUUUUUCCAGAGAACUGUAAACAAAUCUUAUUGCUGACUAGCAUCUUCGCUUGCAUCCAUGCUUUCCUUAUCUUCAUCUUCCAUACCGUGUGUGUGUACACAGACAAACUUGGGAUGUUUUUCUUCACCCCUUCUCUUGGAUUAUGUCCAGCAUAGUUUCUUUAGAGGGGAGACUGUCACGGCAUACCUUUGCACUUAAGUUUGUUUUGCCUUUAUAUUCAGAUUUCACUUCAACAAGCUACUGGGUAAAUUGGGCCUAUAUAAUCUAGUUUGCCUGUUAUAGCUGUCUAAUUUAAAAACAAAACCAAAAAGUUAAGUAUUAAGAGGAGAAAAUAAGUGUGAAUAUAGUUGUAUACAUAUAAAAUAUACUGGAAGUGACUCUUAUGUGGUCUCUAAAAUAUCAGUAGCUAGAUAGCUGUAUAAAAACUUGUGUUGCUGCAGGUUCCUGUAUAUUUACACUGGCAAAUCUUGUUUUAAAUCUUGUUUUAGUUGACACUUCUUUACCAACUUACCCUUCUGGCAGAGACCAUCCUGCAGUGUUACUGUAGGAGCAAACAGAGAAAAGAAGAGGAAAAUGCCACAAGCUUUCCCCGUUUGUGGUCUGCUGAACUGUUCUGUUCUUACAGAUAGCCCUGUUAAUUUAAGAAAAUUAUUUUAUCCCAUGAACUCAUUAGAAAACUCCUUACAGUGGAAGGGAACACUUGGAUCUGGUCUAUGUAAGUAGCUUUUCUUCUAAUAAUUUGGUGUAAGAAUGUCAUUUGUGUUAUCUAAGGAACCAGUAAAAGUACUAUACAUAUUGAAAAUGCUGCUAAUAUUUUGUGUAAGAAAAAGAUGCACGGGAGAGAUGUGAAGUCCAAGUCCCUCACCUACGUCUUCCAAUAAAAUAGCUUGGUCAGUUUAGGCUGGAGGCAUAUGGACUGCUACAAGCUACUGUUACUGCUAACAAUCUGAUUUUCCCUCCAGAAUUACUUAAUAAACAGUUCUAAACCUCUCUGCACAGAGACAGUGGAAAAGGUAACCUACAAAAGGUAACAAAUGGUUUGAGGGACUGAUACAGUACUUGACAGGAGUUUGUUUUGAAAUCGGCUGUUACUCCUUUGCAGGUGAAAGCUGUGUUUCAGAUGACCAAAAGUCAGAUGAGAAAAUAACAAAGUGUGUGGUGGUGGUAUUCUGUUGUGUUUGUUUUUUUUAAAGUAAAUAUCCGCAUAAUCUUCAGUCCCUCAAAUCAGAUGCAGUUGUCCUGUUUCUGUUUUGUGUCCAACUAAGGUAUUAUCCACACUUAACAAUGAAGUGUAGAGCUGCACUGUAAAUAAACAUCUUGGCGAUUAACAAAUGUUUUAUAAGCACUUUGUAGUUUGUACUCCUCAUGUCAAUACCCAAAAACGGGUGUUAAAAAAGUUCUCCAUUCAGCUUUCAACACGUUUCUGUUUCCUUGAAGUACGGUAGACACCUUGGCAUAACGUAGCAGCACAUAAUGGUUUGUGGGUUUUGAAAAGGUGCAGGCCAUAUUGUGCUGCCUCAAAAAUACAAGGAUUUCAUCAUCCCGAACAGAAAUAUAACUUAGGAAUUAGUCAAUCUUGUGAUGCUGAUGUCUGUCAUACUCUAGCAGCACGUAAAUAUUGGUGUUAAGACUGUAAAUAUCUCCAGUAUUAACUGUGCUGCUGAAGUAAGGCUAGCCACUUCUGCAUGUGAGUCAUGAGAGAGGAUGUUUGACAUAUUUUUUCUGAAGCGUUGCUGUUUAUAUGUUGAUUGUUUUUUCUUGGCUGUUGUUCAUGUUUUCAUCUGCUCAGUAACAGUAUAGAGGAUCUCGGAAUAUCUGAAGGUAAAUGUAGGAUAGGUGCAUAUUUAAUCUUGAAUGCUUUGCUUUACAUGGAAGCUGCAUAUAAUAAAGGAGUCAGCUCAACCUACACCUGUCUAGCAGUGCUUUGGUAAGUGUGUUUCUGUAUAUAUUACUGUAUAAACUAUGGUACUUCAAAUGUCAAUGUAUCUUUAUUAAAACUCAAAGCUUUGUUAACCUUUAGCCUUCUCUUAGUGGAUGGAAACUGGGAAAUGUUUUGUCACAUUUUCAGCAAAGCGAGCACACAAAGCAGAAGUGCCUUCCAGAAUUAUUAACAGAACUUAGAUCUUUAUUUCAUGUCUUAAAUCAGACAUUCUCUUCUAAAUUUACUUCUUAAACUACAGACAGGUAACAAUUUUAGGGUUAGAAGUUUAAGCUGCAUAACUGGCUGUGAAUUUACUGAUUCUUUUCUCGUCUUCCACUACCAUGUUUCUUUUGUAGGGGAAUCUCAAUGAAUUGAGAUGAUUGAUAUUGCUGCAGUGAGAAUGGAAAUUACUUGGGUUCCUUUCCUUUUAAAAGCUGCACGCAAGAACUGUGUGGUGAGUCAAACGUAGACUAAUGGUUAUGUAAAUGUCACUAAUUUUAGAUACAGUCAAGAUCUGAAAGUGUGUUUCCUUUUAAGAUUUUAUUUUCUUCGCUAUCAUGACUCAGUAUCACUUGCAAAUCUUAUUUUAUUAGCCCUGUUAUAUUUUAGCAUUGAAAUACACAUGCCUUCUGGAAAUAAAUGUCUUACAACUUUAAGUUUAUCCAUCAUAUAGAUGUUUUAAAUGGAUUAACUGCACUGGGGAUUUGUUUUGACUUCAGGCUUCAGAGGCCUGCUGCUGGUGCUGUGGCACAGGUACAGACAUGAUGUAGAUGAACAUGAAUCCAAGUUAUAAUUCAUAAAUCUGUGUUAUUUUACCAUACAGAAUUUCAGUCUGAUAUAUGUACUGGUUGAAAAUCAGUUGUUUUUUUUCCUGCAUUUGCUAUAGAUUUGAAAUGGUAAAAUUACUGUUGACUGAAAUACCAUAAUUAAUUCAGACCUGAGCAUUUCUCUAUAGUAAAGCAAUCCAGCAUUACAUAGCCCAUAGCUUUUCGUAAAAUGUUUCUGCAUGCCCAUUUACCUGCUAUAGGUCUCAAGAUAUGUAGACAAAAUGAGGCCAACUACUCAGAAUUUCUGCCAUCUAGCUUGAAGUUUAGUAGCUUCAUCACUGAAGCUUCUUUAAGUAGCACUGUAUUUGCUUAUCUCUAACUGCACUGUUAAAGACCUGCACAUACAUUUCAGCAUCUGUAAAUUCAGAAACCCUUGGAAAAGCUAUACUCUGGGUUAUAAAACACAAAGAUUAUUGUUCCAGUAUUCCCCUCCCUUUAAAGGUUGCUGAUUCUGUUAGCGUGCUGCUUGCAGAGGGCCAUCCAUCCUGUUGCUCCUGUGGAUCCAGUAUUUUAAUGUACCUGAGCUUUCUCUCUGGGACUUCUGGGAGUAGAUGCAAAUCUAAAAAGGCAAUCAGAAAGAUCUGGGAGCAUGCAACAAGUAAGUCUAUUUGCAUGGGAUUGUCGUGUGAAUGGUGAAAUAAACUGCUUCCUUCUGGUUCACCAUGCAAACCCCUGUACUGGCACAAGGCAACGGAUGGAAGAGUGAAGCAGCAGCAAUGAGAGUUUGGCAGACUGCAACUCUCCUGCAUUCUGCAGCUCUGGGGUCCUAUGGAUCUGUCUGAUUUAAGAAAAGAAGGCUCACUGUCUUCAGUUCAAGUGCUUAUUUCUGUGCUAGGCUUAGAAACUAGGGUGAAAAGAUGCUUAACUCAUAUAAGGGAUAUAAGAGAUAGGCCUGCUUGAAAUUAAACUGUAACUAGUUGCUGUGUGAGUGUAGAUAACUGGGGAGAGGAGCGUGUCUGAAAAUGCAGUGUUGAAAGACUGGAGCUGGGAGCUCUUAGGGGAGAGGAGAUAUCUGAUAAGUGGAAAACUGGGAGGACAAAUACAGGUUGGGCGAAGAUCUAAGGGGUUUGCUUUGUGAAGGUGGAAGAAGCAGCAGCCUGACAGACGGGGUCCUGCCUGAUCCUGCAAAGAAAGUGUAAGUCAGUCUUGGGGAAAGGGGCUUGCACCUCAGAUUGUUCCUAAUGUUUACUAGAAUGCUUAGCACUUAAGUCUGCACAGCCUUCUGACUUUAGCAGCUUUUGCUGUGAAAUCACUGUCGACUUCAUUUCCCUCUCAUCCUGUCGCAUGCAAAAGAGGGCAACUUUAUUACUGCUCUUGGCUACUUUGCAAACUUUGGUCCUGAGCAACAACCCCAAAAGUCAGAGAGUAGCUGAGGUUAGAAGGGGUCUCUGGAGAUCAUCUAGUCUAAGCAGGGUCAGGUAGAGCAGGUUUCUCAGGGCUGUAUCCAGUCAGAUUUUUAGUAUCUUCAAGGACGGAGAACUUACAACCUGUCCUGUUCAGAUUAAUUUCCUGCUAUUUGCUUUGUGCCUGUUGCCUCCUGUCCUGUCACUGGCCACCACCACUUAAAGCCUGAUUCUUCUGCUCUCCUUCACCCCAUCUUCAGGCACUUCUAAGCUUUGAUAACCACCCCACACACACACAAACCCUGAGCCUUUUCUUCUAUAGGCUGAAGAGUCUCAGCUUUCACCACCUCAUCUAAAAGAUGCUUUAGUUGUUUGACUAUCUUCGUAGCCCUUUGUGGAAGUAAAUAAAAUGUUUCAACUAAUAGGGGAAACGGAAUUCAAAGGAGGAAAUGCUUUUGAGAAGGAAAGAAACCCACUGAUAAAUUAACUGUUAAAAACUAAAAAGAAUAUGCAGAUUGCAAAAUGAAACGCUGAGGAUUUAUGUAAUUCCUGAUUUAAGAUUCUGCAAUCUUAAUUUGCCCCCUUGUGUUAGUCUACUGUGAAGCAGUCUUCAUGAUCGUAGGGAAUAUCCAGUCCUAAUGGGAGGACUGGCCUGGUAUGGUGCUGGGUCAGGUAAGGUGUUUGGAGGCUGUGCAAGAAGCUCGACACUGCUACAGGUGCUGCAGAAACAGGCUGAAAAUUCUGUGGAGAAUGGACCAAAGUCUGCAAGUAGAGGAAAACACGUCUUCAUGGUUACAUCAAAUGAGAAAUCUGAGGAAUUGGAUGUGACGUUUAUUUUUCUGCUUUCAUUUCUGUGUGAUGCUAACCAAGUUACUAGGACACUGAUUUCAUAGUACUUGCCUUCCUCACUUCAGAGGUAGCUUUAAGAGGCUUUAAGAUCCUCAUGUCUGAUGGAGACGCUGGCUUUCCAUAUUGCAGCUGAGCUGCUUCAGUGUUGUAACUUGAAUUAAAAUGUUAUGUGAUGUCAUGUAUGCUUGCAGUCUCCUAAAUAUCUUAUAUGGGAUACCUCAAACUGCUGGGUGCUACUAUAGUUUCUGUAUCUCCACGUCACAUUUAAAAUGGAGAUGAUAGGCACUGAAAGACUGGUUUUGUGUGUGUUUUAUUAUUGUUACGAAGUUUCGUUUAGUGGCUGUGCUACAGUGAUGCAUUUCCUCAUCGAAUUUUCUGUGGCAUUUAUUAAUCUUGGUCUGAAGAGGUGAGUAUUGUGCAUAUCCUUACCAGUUCAAGGUAAGAAACAGGAUUUCCAUGUUGCUGGUUCAUAGUCUAUUUGUCCCUUCCUGUGUACUUUAAAGUAUUCUGAUCUGUGUCCUAUCUUGUCACUGAUUCAUUUCGCUUGUAUAGGUAUAACUGAACAUUUCGUCAUCCCAUUUUUGGAAUAUAAUUUCGCAAAUAAUGUCAUCAGUAUUCUGCAAGAUCCCUUAUAUAUUGAGGGUAAUGUUUGUGUCUGAAUUCUGGUAUGUUAUACAUGUACAAUAAAUUUACCUGUAAAGAUAUGUAUUAAAGAAUGAACUAGUUAAAUUGUAACACUUAAGUUCUUAGGCACAACAGUAUUAAAAUGCACUUCAUUAAAAAUGCCAAGUCAUGUAUUCAGGACUUCUACAGACUGCUCUUCAAAUUUCAAACACUAUUUUCUUGGUACCGCAGUCUUGAGUGGAUGAGAAGGGUUCUGUGUUUAAUAUUCAGAUAUAGAGAACUGAAAAUCUGUGUUUUUCCGUAAUACUCAACAAGAUACCGUGGUUUGGGGAAGUCUCUCCCGGUCGAGUAGCAGCAGUAGCAAUAAUCAGUGAAAUGUUUAGACUCCCUUCAUGUUCCUUGUUACCACCUCCUAUCGUAAAAGUCACAAGAUUUAUAGCAAUAAAUCUGAAGUGGUGUGCUACUAUUUUACCACAGUUUAACUCAAAGCAGCAAUUCUUUAAAACAAAUGAACAAACAAAGUUUGAAACUUACUUGGAGAAAAAAAAUCAAUGUCUGGAAUAUGUUACUAUCUGAGUUUCUGAGCUGACAGUUUUAAGUGUAUAUCAGAAAACAUUUACCUAUAGUUAGAAAUGAGAAAAAAUGAUGGAAAAAAUGCAGUGGCAUGAGUGAUGUUGCUCAUUUCUUUCUGUGAAGGACUUAGUAUCACUUGGUCAGUACUUGCUUCACUCUAAACAGUUUAUUUCUGUAGGAAGUUAUUAAGUAUCUCUUAGGUACAGCUCUAUUUUUCCAAAUUUGACUUGCUUGUAAUAGUCCCAUGUUAAUAAACCAAAUGAAACUUAUCUAUUAUUGCUUCAGUUUCUUCAUAUAAAAUUUGAUCCCUGUAUUCAAGAUUUCUGAAGUUAAGAUUUGAGUAUAGUAGCAUGUAUCCAGUGCUGACUGGGUAAAUGCUGACUGACUUAUCUCAGAAGAAGAGACAGGAAUAAUACAGCCAUAAUGUCUUUUCUCUGCUGUUUUUACCUGUAGAUGGAUCAGGCAAAAAAGAAGCUUCAGGAAUUACGUUAUUGGACCAGCUAGAGUAGUCAGCAGUCAAUAAUGUGACACUAGUUUUGUGAUUCUGAAGCAAAACCAGUUCAGGGCUGCCAGUCUUCCUGUUGCCCUCAGUAUUAGCCUGGCUCUGAUGUUUUCAUGGUGGUUUCACUGAGUAACUUUGGGUUAGAGUUUGGUAAGCUCAGCCAGCUGAAUGUGUCGCCUCUGUGAGCAGUGGUGCUGGCACCAAGGAGAAGUUCCCCCUGCUCCCUUAAGAACAACAGCCUGGAGAAGUUCAAGUUUAUUGCUCAAACCAAUGUAAGAAAUACUCAGCCAUAAUCUGUUCUUGACAGACUUUGCCUGUCUGCUCUUCAAGUACUUCAAAGGAGCUUGCAGAAAAUCUGGUCUGGGUCUUCUAGGUGCAAUAUAAGAGAAAUAUAAAUAGAUGCAGCGUAAAAAUUAAAAGAAUAACUGCUUUCAUGGUUAAGGAAAAGGACAGGAGCUGGGGAAAAAGAAUUAAGUUUGUCUCUUGUCCUCUUAGAUGUUAGCAUGAGUGUCCAUGUUCACUGUGUACUUUAAUAACUGGGAGGAGACUGUUUGAACAAAGAAGACAAAUAUGAUCUACUGGAAAAGUAAUGAACCUUCAGAAUUAAUUUUGUUCCCUCCUGCUCUGUCUUGAGUAACACAAGUUUGUUCCUGAAAGAAACCCUGCUAUACAGGCCAAGGAGAGCUUUUCAAGGAUUUUUUUCUUUUCUAGGCAUAUCAACACUGAAUACAGAACUUCUUAACAGCCAUGAAGUUCCACGAUCUUAGUUCCAUAACAGAAAUGCCAGAAGUAGAUCAAGUGAAAUGGCCAUAGGAGUCUUUGAGUCAUCUUAAAUUAUGCAUCAGGUGCCAUCUCUGUUAAAGCGUUGAGAAAGGAAGUUCCCAAAGAAAUUCAGAAAAGUAGAAUCACAUUCUUGUUUUGAGGAAGUUACAUCCAAGUGUGGUAUUUCAGUACCUUUGACAUGGUUUCAGGGAAAAGAACAUCUCUAUCUCUGCCAAAUACCACUUUUAUUUUCCUGUACUUCAGUUAAUUCAGAAACAUGGGAUCUGAACAUUCCUGGCUUACUACCUGAAGCUGUACCUGUUGACUUCAAUACUCUGCUACAAAAUGGUUUCUGAUUUACUAGAAUCAUAGAAUAUCCUGAGUUGGAAGGGACCCACAAGGAUCAUCAAGUCCAACUCCUGGCUAGCUAAUGAGCCAUGAAUAUUUCUUCCUCUUCCAUAUCUAAAUUUAACUUGUAGAAAUAAAAAAUACACAUCUCAGUCUGAAUUCUAAAGCAAUUGUUUGUUAUCACAGAGCAUAAUUUUGUUUUACACUGAGCAGUUUCUUUUGCAUGUACAUCACUACAAGGAUGUUUUUAUACAUGGAUACAGACCAUAUAGUAAAAAUUGCCCAGUGUAGUGAUCUACAUCUGUUAGCACACAUUGCUAUUACUUAUCACAGUACAAGCAGUGCAGAAAAUGACUGCAGCUAUAAAAGGAUAAUGAAAUAUUUGCUCUUUGUGUACUUCUGCUUGUUGACUUAGUGUCCUUAGUCUUCUAGGAAGUAUUUGCAAGUCUGUUCACUGCAGAGUAGCUCUUUCCUAGAUUUACUUGUAGGUUCACCUGGGAGUGAGGAGUAGGAUAUUUGGGGGGUGGGGGCAGGUCCCAGAAGCAAUGUCAGUGGGGCUAACAACAUCUUUUUCUACUUGUUUCCUUCAACAGAAGACUGGUAUCUACACUCUACACACAAAAGCUAACACAAAAGUGCUCAUGUAGACUUUGCUUCUUACUUUAUAGUACUUUAUAGAAAUGGCUGCGAUACUUUUUCAUAUUAUCGAUGUGAAAGUCUCCCACUUUCCCCAUAAACUAUGUGUUGUUUUCAGACAUAUCAGUAAAAAAAGCUAACAUAUCUAUGUAUAUAUGCAUGUAUAAUGAAACUUCAGACAUAAAAGCAAGAAAUUUCCAGUAGUGUCAUCCAAAGAUGGAAAAGGGCUACAGUUUGGGAUUUAUACAAUCUAUUACAACUAGUUGUCACAGGUCAUUUAGAAAGUGGGCUUGCCUGAGUGGUAGGUUGUACAGUCAGAAAAAGGAUUUUGUGGAAGAUUUAACAACAUCGUGUAGCCAGACAGCCCCCUGUUGGCUGUAUUGUUCUGUUGUAAAGGCUCCAGAAAUGAAUUGUGCUCAAAUUCAACUAUUCACUGCACUGAAACUAUUUUUUGAAUCCCAUAUCUUAGAUAGUAAAAAAUGGAAAGGGGAAUAAAAGUGUGUAUAAAAAAAAAAACAAAAAAAACCAACUCUGAAUUGAGUUUUAUCCCUUUUCUGAAUAAGAUCAAUGCCAAAGCUUGGUUAUAGAGAGUAUCAAGAGUAUCCGUGUUCAGUUUCUGAAUGUUUUUGUAGAAACCUAUUUUUAGAGAGCUGCAGUGAAAAUUUAGACUGGUACUUUGUCCUUGUCAUUAAAACUUAAGGCUAGCAUACUUUAUCACAUUUACAGCCUGUCUAAUGCAAAGCCUUUAGAUCAACUUCUGUCAAGAAUGCAGGUAAUGGUUUGCAAACUUAAGUUUUUAAAACUUAUCAGUGAACUAAUAAGAUAGAGGCUUCAGCCUUAUUUAAUGACUGUGACUCUUCUAGGUCUGUCUAUGAAAGUUUCUGCAGUUUAACCAGGUACAGUUUUACCAGGAGGCUUGUGUUUUAGUUAUUCGUGCUUGCUUUACUUUAGUCUCUUCUUUUGUAUGUGGCUGAAGUUGCUACCUGUGCAACUAGCUGCUUGCUUCCAGUUUGUGUUUUCCUGUGCCACAACACCAAAAGCCUUGUUCUUCGAAAGAAAUAAGUGCCUAAAAUAUGGGAAAGCUGAAGGACGUGUAGUACUAGGUAUUAACUGUCCGUGAAGGAAACCUAAAACCUGCCUUGUAAUGUCACUGUACAUCCCUGUGACAAUAGCUACUGUAUGUCUGUAAGCAAACAGUUGUUGUCUGGAAUUUAAUGGUGUAUCCAUGCUUAAAAGGUCUAGUUUAGGUAGAAGUGGGUGACCUGAGGAAGUUUCCCAGGACAAUAGGUGACCCAAGGAAAGUUUCCAGGAACAACUGUUUCAAAGACAGGAUCUUCUGCCCCAAGUUAGACAACACAGAGAUGACUCCUUUCUGUAUCAGAUGUGGCCAAUGUUAUAAAAACUUAUCUUCACUUGAAGAAUUGGAUUUGUGGCUAAAAAUUAUUUAUUUGUGGCUAAAAAUCCAUACCUGUAACAGUAGUGGAGAGUCUGAUGUGAGAGUUAGUCUUCAGCAGCAUAGGACAGAAGACUAACAUGAUGCUGAGAAAGCCAAAGUGUUCAAAGACUCUGUUUCUUUACUCUUUGGUACACACUAAAAGAUUAAUUGUAAUCAGAUAAAACAGUUGACAGAAACAACAGAGGGUAGUAAUACGUGCUGUGAUUGAAGAGGAGGAAUUGGAAAGACAGACAGGCCAAAGGUUACAAAGUCCAGCGAGCUGCUUUAAAAGUUGGCGUGACCUGCUAAAAAAGAGUCUAAGAAAUUGGUUGAAGUGGUUUCAAGGCCAAGGGACUCGACAGAGAAAUGGAGAACCUGGGUUUGGGGUUCUUCACGAGCCUGGGGGGAGACUCGUGUUCAUGUCUUUAGCUUCUGAAAAAGUGCUCGGGGGAAGUUGUCCACAGAUGUUCCCCAUCUUCCUUGUUAAAUCGAUGAGAUGUACAAAAAAGCAUAGAAGUCACAAAACAGUUUUGUUCAAAGGUUGUUGGCAGUGAUAACUAUUACUGUUACCAGAUGAAAGCAAGCUGCAGGUAGGAUUUCAAAGGGUGGGUGAAUUUGCUUUUAUUGGACUAACUGUGCAGCUCUUUGCAAGUUCCAUAUUCUCUUCCUAAGAUGUUUCCUGAAGUAAUAGUAAAAAGAGCAUCCAAUAAAUUAUAGUCCCCAUUAAACCCUGUUAAAGGAGUACCUUAUGUUUCCAGAAGAUGAACACUGAGAUAGCCAAGUAUUUAUGAAUCGGAUCACAGACAUCUGUUAUGCCAAAGUUUUUUACAUUGCUGAAGAGAGCACGGGUAAAGAUGUCCUUAAAUUGUUUUAUGCUCUUGGUUUCUCUACAGCAGCUCAAGAGGGGAAGUAACAGAGGUAAAGAGCUUCACCAGUUUGACUUCAGUGACCAGCAACGAUUCACCUCUUCACUCUACCAUCGUUAUUUUUUUUUUUUUUUUAAUUUCUGACAGCCUCCCUCCCAAACUAGGGAUCGACAGGAGCCUGUUCUGGGUGAAAGAAGAUUUAAAAGCGUAUCCUGGUCAGAAAAAUUACAGCCUUUUAUUCCUCCUCCGAGGUGUGGUUGGUUACUUAAUUUCCAAAUGAUGAUUAAACUUGAAGAAUCCCCCAAGGCUCUUGGAGCAUCUGUGUAACUUGUAUUUCUUUCAAGCAAUUCUAGUAGCUUAAAACGUACAGUGUAUUUGGCAGAGCUGUGGUAGUGUGAUCCCAUUGUUUUAUGCUUCUUCAGAAAUAAAGUCAGUCGUUUUUGAAAGGCGCUGCCUUCAUCUGUGAAAGCAUUUGUCAGUCAGGUUCCUCUAAAGCUGCACCUCUUUCUCGAAGUUUUUAGGUAUGAGCAGAUAGCCAGUCCAGAGCAGUGGGUAUUUUUAGAGGUAACUGACAUUAUCUGUAUCUCUACUUUUUACAUUGAUUUCAGAGUUCUUGCAAGAACAGCAUCUGUUCCUGGUGAUUUAUAGUGGCUGAGUUUUUCAAGCUGCCAAUAGACUCUUCCUUUGAGACUUCCAGGCCUAGUGAAGCUACUCUCAUUUCCACAUAAAGCGUGCCCUUGGGACAGGGAUUUCUUCAUCACCCUCUAUAUUAAAAACAAAUCCUGUAUUUUAUUUAUAUUUGCUGUUCCUUUCUUCAUCCUCUACAGGUACAGGAGCGUGUUCUUCUGCAGUACACGUGGAAGCAACAGCUCUGCGGAAGAGCAGUGUUUGUUCCUCCAUCCCAUAGUCCUCCAGACUGCCAGUGACUAUCAGUACAGCUUUUCAUUAGCCUGUGGUAUAUCAGGUAGACAUCUGUUAUUCACUAAUUUAUAGCUAAUUGGCAUUUAGCUGCUAAGAUUGGUUUUAGUUUUGGAAAUUUUAGCAUUUCUGUUUUUCUAUUGGAGGAACUGUUUUAGUCCAGGAGGAAUUUUGUAUCAGCACAUACCCCAUGAAUGAGCACACGCAGAAAGUUCCUGUGUAAUGUGGUGUUAGGACCAUCCAUGUAAGAUACCAUUUACUUGGUUUGAUGAGCAUUACCUGAAUCUUCUAAGAAGGCUGAGCAAGCAAAACCUCUUGCCUCAAAGUGUCACAAGUGAUAGAGGCACCUUGUCUCUGGUUCUAGUUUGCUUGAGCGGAAACACUGAGAAAGACCAGAAGAAUCUUUUGCUUCUUCCACUUCUUGAUGUAGGCUGUCAGUGUGUCUCCUAACACAGCUAGACCUUGAAUAGAGGGUGACAAGGAGCAGAAUAUUUGCAAAGCAGAUCCUCACUUUCUCAUUGUACAUAGCUCAAACCUGGGAACACCGGGCUGCGUUAUGCUGCAGACUUGGAACUACCUUGGGUAUUUCAUAGCACGUGCUCUGCAGUUCCUGGAUCCUUUACCAGUUGUGUUGCUGAAGCAGAAAUCACCAGUGGCAGUGAUACUGGAAUUAAUUCUGAUGAAGUUGAGUCACCUUUGGAUCCUUCAGUUGAAAGCUGAUGGAGCAAUCCAGCAGUCCAUUAUCAAAUCAGGCUCAGAAUUGGCCCUUAUGACCCUCUGUGGAUGUCCAGCCUUCAGCAUUGACUGAACCAUUCUCUGCUCUGCUGGUACUGAGAUAAUUUCCUGUAAGUCUCCAAUACCGUGCAGGACUAAUUCUAUAGAAAAUAUUUCUGUGCUCUGUCAGAAUUAGAAGAGAAGAGAGGGAUCCUUCUGUAAGGUUCUCUUUAGAUGGACAUCCCACACUAGGUAGAGGCAUCAGAUGUGGUUCAUUCACAGUAGGGUUGCUUAUAGAGAAACAGAGACUUUCACUGCAUUUUUCAGCACCUCUCUAUGCUCAUGAGCAGUUAUUAAAUGGCAAGGAUCCUUGAGGUACCAUCUAGACAUUUAGAUGAGGCCCUGGGCAACCCGAUCUAGUGAGUGGCAUCCCUGUCUGUGGCAAGGGGGUUGGAACUAGAUCAUCUUUGAGGUCGCUUCCAACCUAAGUCAUUCUAUGAUAUUUAACUUCAGCUUUCAAAGACUGCCUGUUGUUGAUGUGUCGUGCUAAGUGCUGUCAGACCAGAAUAUGGUCUUGGGACAGCCUUCACUGGAAGGAAGGCAGUCCAAUAACAGCAAAAAUUGAUGGGGUGGAGGAAGAGUAACUUUUCUAACUUCUGUAUCUGCUGCAGAAAGAGCUACCCUUCUGUAAGUGAGGGUACCCAACUACCCAAGUAUGCGAGCCCAACAGGGUAUUGUUAAUGAAUAGGUGUAAUCAAUAAUUUAAAGUGGUGCUAAGAAUUGCCACAGGCACCUAGGGAGGCAUUUAGAUCUGGUGCAGUCAAGACCGUUUAUAGCAAUCGCUUUUCCAGAGACAGACCUCUUUAUAAAGACAACUUCUUUAUGGGCUUUUUGAAUUACAAGCAGCUAUUAAGUGUUUUGUGAUCUGUUUAGUAUAGACAAGGUCCUGCACACUAUUCAUAGGGCCCUGGGAGUAAAUACCAGUUCCCAAGAACAGGCAUCGCAGCACAGGCUUUUCAACUGCCCAGACCUACAUGCCUUCCAGCAAAGCUACACAAAAUCUCAAGAGAAAAAAGAAAAACCUCUUCCUCGUGUUUAGUGGUUCACCUGCUUCUUUCAUCAACACGGCAGAGCAUCUGACUCUUUGAUCUGGAAGUUUUCAAGUUCUGCCUUCUUCCUUUCAACCACUGAAGUGGUUUUGUAACAGGUUAGUGCCAGGCAUCAGAGAGACAGGCUUGCACAGUCUAUUUUAGUUACUCAUUGACUCCAUUCUCUUCCAGGGCAUUUUAAUAUAGAUAAUUAGUAACGUCCCUUUUCCUAUGGAAGAGAAGAGAAAUCCUACUUCAUCUUUUAAAGAGGGAGGGGAAAACUGUUGAGUUAAUGACUCAGUUCCAAUACAGCAUCCACUUUGGCCUGUCCUGGAUCUCAAGAGAUGCAAAUAUGUACAUCUGAAAGAUCAGACAAUAAUAUUUUCAGCUAGUAGUUUUUCAACACCAAGUAAAACGCCUUGCUUUGAGUUUUCAAAACACUUAUUUCCAUGCUACCACACAGCUUGAAGGAGCUACGUGAGAGUUAUAGCCUCCUGUGUAAGACCAGUUCAGUGAGAGCGCGUCAGGCUUUCAAUAGCUAAGCACAAGAGUGCUGUGGCACAGCAUACAGGACGUGCUGUACCCAAUGGAGGAGUCAUACAAAAGUCGCACAAGUGUCCCUCUACCUGGAAUUGCAUUUUCUAGAAAAGGUUCUGCAGGAAAGUCUCUGAAAUGGAAGCUGAGUCUAGCGAAAAGUUGAUCGUUUGUCCAUCCUUUUCCACGUGUAUCUGUACAGGUGUCAGGACUCCAUAUGAAGAGCACUUAGCUCUGGAUUGCGGUAUCAUAUUUCAGAAAGCUCUUACUGAAUGGUGACAGGCAACAGUUUGCAGGUUCUGCUUUACUGAUCUGAAGAUUCCCCAUUUAGGAGUUUGCUGACAGGGUUACUGCUUUCCAUACUGCACGUGGAAUUGAAGUAAAGGCCUCCGAGAGGAGGUGUCCAGUCCAGUGGAGGCUUACUGUGCUGGUGCUGCCAAGGCAGAGGUGGUAGCUUCAGCACUUGUCUAUGCAGCCACCAAAAGCUCAGCUUCUGCUUCCAGGCAUGAGAUAUCAAGAUGAUUAACCCACCUACUGUUUGGAUCCUGCAAUGGUUCACCUCCUAGUGCAGGUACAGAACUGACCCGAGAGAGAAAUGUUGUUUGGAUAUGCAAAAUUUGUCAGAUGUUCUACAGAUCUACCUACCUAGAAAAAAUGUUCCUGAAGUCUCAUUAAUGUCUAACUCUCCCACCCAAGUCAUUCUGUGCCUCUUCCAAGUUCCUGUAGCAGCUGUCACCUGCCCAUUCAUUCACCCCAUCAGAUCUUUUACUUUUCUCUAUCUGAUGUUGCUAAAAUUUGAGCUGUUAACUGUCCUCCCUUGGAUUCAGCAAUUUGUGUCUGGUUCCCCAAAGGCACUGACGCUCUCCAGCCAUGUGUUAUCCCUUUACUCCUAUCAAAGGGGAAAUUAUUUGGGUUUGCUCUCUUCUGUGGGUCUCAGCCCUCCUCUAGAGCAUGACCUGUUCCUCUGUUGUACCAGUGGCCAGGCCAAGGAGCAAGCUGAAGACAUUGCAAAAAGAUGCAAAGAUUAAAGAUGGAAGGUUCAACAUGUGUCGCGUACUGUUUGCUGUUGGAUGCAGCGUUGUAAACGAAAUGCUUUGUCUGUAUUUACUUUUAUUCCCCAGUUUAGUUAUCACUGGGGGGGGGGGAAACAUAGACCAGUCUUUUCAGAAGGCCCUCAAUGAAAGCUGCAAAACUGCCAUUGAAACUUAAAGAAAACUGAGUUCCCAGACUCGAUGUUUCCAAUCUCUUGCCUUUUUUUCCUGUGUAGCAUCAGGCUGGAACGAUGUUGCAAUGUUUAAUUCUGAACAGUUUCAGCAAGCCCUCAGCUGACUGUUGUAGCAGGAACUUGCUUAGAAAGCAAAGCACCAACUUCAUUCUCCAAAGCAGAUUUGUACACAUUACAGUUUCCAGCCUGUAGGGCGACAUUCAUCAUCCUGCUGACCAGAAAGAAGCCACCAAUUAACUGAACCAUCGCGUCGGAGGGGAAAUGGAGUAGAAACGGGGUAAGAACUCUUGGAGAAAUUUACACGUCAGAUCACACUUGCAGAUAAAACUUCAGGGGGUGGUUUCAGCAGAAACUGUGCUAUGGUCUAGAAGGCUGCCAUUCCCCCUUUUUGCAAAUGGCAGGCAGAUUUAUUUGUGUUUUAUGCGAUGACUGGUGAUUUACAUCCCACCCACCCAUCUGAGAGCAUUCUGGGCUCCAGGCAUAUCUCCAGCCAGUUCCAGGCUAUUCAAAGGGUUGUUGGUCCGUCCAUUUACUCGUCACAACCAGGCCUUCUGUGACUAAUUACGGCCUGACUGCAGCAGGAGAUGGCAGCUUCAAAGAGUGGGAAUCUUCAGCCGCGCUAGCAGUUCCCUCGCUUCUCAAUUCUUUAUUUAUGUGGAUUACAUUGAGUUGACAGAUUUAACUGGGCUGUUGAAGAUACGGUCAAAGAAGCAGAGUCCCUCCCUUCCCUUUUAUUGUUUUCUGAAGACAUAACAGUCAUAUGCAUCUGUCACUAGAGAGAGGAAGUUCUCCAUCACUGGGCUUGAUUUGGGCUUUUAUAUGCUGUUUCAGUAGCAUCUGGGAAUAGAUCAAUAUAAUAUUUGGUAGGGAGUUGUAUUUCCUCGUGAUGCACUGUAAAUCUUUUAUUGUAGAUACUCCCACUGUUUAUUGUUGAAAAUCAAUAAAAAUAAACCUUGUAAAGUUAAAGCCUGGCAAGGGUUCAGCACAAAUCACAGGGAAGGAGCGAGAGGCAAUGAGCCUCCCUCCCCCUCUUGGCUAGUUCCCAGCUUGUUUCCCAAUGAAUAUUCAAUAACACUUUCCAGCAAUCUGGGAACAAACUUAUUUCUCUUGAAUUAUUCAAAGUUACGAACGCUCUGUUGUGGUCUCAAACAGGACUUCUAACCCGCUUUGGCUGCUUUCUGGCACUGAAUUCAGCUGUGGAUCAAAACCCAGUAUCACCCAGAUCCUGUGUUGGAUAUACGUUAGCCUUAUCCCUUCCAGAGACGGACGAAAGCACGUCGGCCUCGUUCCGCUCAGGUUAACCGGGUAAUUUGUGAGCAUUACCACUGGAUAUUAGCCAAAAUAGGUUAAAAAGAGGGAGCAGCCUGCUGUGGAGAGAAGCUCCCCAAAAGUCAGAAGAGAAUUUACAACCCCUGUUUGCACGCAAGGUGGGAUGCAAUUACUCUGGCAUCGUACUUUGCUCUGUGGCUUCUAAUUCCUCACAUACUGCAUCUUAUGGUGGAGUCUUCAAGUCAUGAGGUUCAACUACACAGGGAAAUGAGAAAUGUUUGGGAAUUAUUUAGUGAAGGAGAACGCAGCACCAAGGCCAAGCUAAAAGGUUGUUCUUUUUUAAGUCUUAGCACAGUAUCAAUCACAAUAGGUUUAUUUAGACAUCGAAUAUUAAUUGAUUAUACUGUGUUAUGAGCAGUGACAGCAAAAUAUGUAAGAACGUAGUGACUAUACUUCCUGAAAGAGUGAAACCCCUCAGGAAUUACCGUGUUGAAAUCAAUACCCAAAGAAUCUUUGCAGAACAGGGGGAGCAACGCAACAAAAAGAAGAGGAAGGUGUUUCUUGUCGGACUCUCCCCUUCCCAGUACCAGCAGAUCCAUGAACGUUUCGGGUGGCAAACAAAGGACACAUCCCCAGAAGAGACACUGAGAACAAGAGGGAAUUUUCCAACAUUGAAUAAAGAAAUACAGGAUGAAAUCCAACUAUAAAGGAGGGAAAAAUGAUUAAAAUAAAGAAAAUACAAUACAGUUCCAGGUUGUUCCAAACAGUCUUAAGUUGCGUCAACGGUCUCAAGUCUUUCCAGGGAUGUUCAGAUUGGACAUGAGGAAGGAUUUCUUCUGUCACAUAAAAUCUAAGUAUUUGAAGGACUCAGUGGCUGCAUUAUCUUACCUCUUAGUUCCUUUCCCUCUAGCCCCCUUACUGCUGUGGGAAUCCACUGGUGUGUUAUAACAGAGGAGAGCUCACUGCGCCCUGCACAUCCAGAAAGGAGCUGGAGGACCGACUGGCUCGUGGUGCCCCAGUGAUACGGCAGGCAACUCCCAGCAUCUCCUGCCCUGGAGCAAUUUGCAAAGUUUUGCAGAAUCCGAGGAAUAAUAAAAAGGCAAAUACAGAACGGAGUUUACUGUAAUCAGUAAAUUUUGUACCCUCCCGGGAAGGAAUUCUCUUGAGCAAGUGGGCAAUGACUUGAAGUGAAUCAAGCCAACCAUUACAAAUUCCAACUUUGUUGGAAAAAAUGUCUAAAUGUUUCAAAAUGACAACUGCCAUUUGGUUGUAGCUCUGCCAUUGCUGCUUCCACUUUCUAUGCGAAGAAGUCCAGGCAGGUGCUUUCCUUCAAGGACCCAGCUCACCACCAAACCAUCUCCAAUUAAAUUUAUCCCGCGGGUAUCCUGCAGGACAACACGCACUCGGGCACUUCCACCAAGUUUCUGUUGGGUUAUUGACUCACACUCACGUGCUCUCAAACUUACCAAGGUACCAUUUUUUAUUUUUUUUAAAAAAGAGCACAAGUGACAGAGGUGAUACUUCUCAGCUCAUUUCUAGGAAUCAAGGAUAGAACAACGUGGGAAUCCAAACUUACUGGCUCUCACGAGCAUUACAUCAAAAAUGCGCCCAGUCCCACUGUAUGUGCUCACACCAGGUCAAGUGAAAGCUCUGAGAACUGACCCUCUGUUCGCUUCCCCAGUGUUCUCUGCAGACCUUUCUCUCUUAAUUCCCAGCACCAAAGAGCAGCUCAGUGUCCUCAGAUGGGGGCAGAGGACAGAGGAGCAUUUUGCAAGAG
Molecule: non-coding RNA, 23673 nt
Organism: Anas platyrhynchos (mallard)
Lineage: Eukaryota; Metazoa; Chordata; Aves; Anseriformes; Anatidae
Source: RefSeq, a predicted model, not a curated record